Molecule: long non-coding RNA, 241 nt
Filed under: Elaeis guineensis (African oil palm)
Lineage: Eukaryota; Viridiplantae; Streptophyta; Magnoliopsida; Arecales; Arecaceae
Description: long non-coding RNA (EGUI_LNC012975)
Source: RNAcentral
UCUUUUAUCUUGUUUUAUCUUUCUCUUUGAUCGUAUUUUUUUGACCUACCUUAACCAUAUUAUGGUCGUCAAAGUGGGGUAGAGGAAGGCUGUGUAAAAUAGCAACCCCCUACCAUUUCUUUACCCUAAUCUUCCCUACCCAAUCAUGAGAAGAGGAAGGUUGCCCUACUGGGAGCAACCCCUCACAUGAAUAGAGAAAAAAAAGGCUUAAGAGCAAGCUUGUGUGCUGUACCUUCCCUCC